UAUCAAUGUGAUUUAAAAUUGGAGGAUUUAAAGGAUUAAAAGACAAUUCGUUCUUCAAGCGCUAUGCACUGCGGGACUGGGAGUUAGCCACACUGCAUGGUGGCGCUCCCACUGGGCUAUAAUUUAAGCUACGUUCCAGCCGGUGACUGU
This is a non-coding RNA of Caenorhabditis elegans, 150 nucleotides long. Lineage: Eukaryota; Metazoa; Nematoda; Chromadorea; Rhabditida; Rhabditidae. The record is from Ensembl.